This 1707-nucleotide long non-coding RNA is filed under the name Podarcis lilfordi (Lilford's wall lizard). The record is from RNAcentral. Lineage: Eukaryota; Metazoa; Chordata; Lepidosauria; Squamata; Lacertidae.
AUAACCAAUGACCAUCUUCAAAUACGGUGUAAUAUUGAUGUAUCUCCCCCCCCCCCCAUGUAAGAUUUUUAUUAUAUUAAGCAGUGUUUUCUAAAAAUAAAACUAAAUGUUUGCUUUACUCCCCAAAGACAGUGGUUCUGUUCACGCUGGUGGGCUAUGCCUUUAUGUCUGUCACAGAUACAUGGUUUGGAACAAAAGGGAAGAUGGAAGAAGAAGAAUGGCUGCUAUCCAUUUCUAAAGUCAGGUUCAUGGAGGCAAGGCAUAGUAAGUAUAAAGCAAUAAUAAAGAUUACUCUGCUUGUUUUGCCAAACAGAUAAAUAGAUUCCAGGCUUCAAUUUAUAAAACAGACAUUAGACCAAACAGCACGCAUCCCUCCCUGUCUCCAUAAUUGUGUACCACACUGUCAUAGUUAGUGAUUGGACUAGAUUAAUAUUGGCAGAACUGGUGUUCUGACAAUUGCUGGAGACUGCAGCAGAAGAGUGGAAAGCACUGCUGAGCAGUUAAUAAGUGGCCAUUCUUCAGUCAUGCAGCACUUGGAAUAGCUUUUCAAAGGGAGAAAAGAAAAUUCUAUUGGGUUUCAACACCUGGUUGAGCAGCUCAAUAGAGACAAAAUUGAACGUUAUAGCACAAUCAUUAUUUAUUUCAGGACUACAUCUUCAUUGCAUGGGCAGUCUUAAAAUGAAAGUUAUUUCAAUGUGAAUCAAGUUCACGCCAGCAUCUCAGGCGGCCUCUAUGGGAAAGGAGCUCUUUACACAUAUUUUCAGGUGGCAAUCAUAUCCAGCUGAACACAUUGGGGGGUCUUUGUUUUCGUUUCAAUGUGUUUAAAACAUGCUGGAUUAAUAGGAACAAUACCAAGGUGACUUAAAAAACAACAACACCCUACUUGUGAGAUGCAUUGUUUUCCAAUUUUAGCAACAGCAAAAAUGACCUCUGAUUAAAAUAAUGGUGCUGUUAGUGUGUUAGAUUCAGGACAGAUAAAAGGAAGCAUUUUUUUCACACAGUGCAUAGUUAAACUAUGUACCUGCAGGAGACAGUGAUGGCAACCAACUUCAUUGGCUUUGAAAGAGGAUUAGACAGAAUCAUGGGGGAAUAUGUUUGUCAAUGGCUAGUAUCCAUGAUGGCUAUGCUCUGCCUUCAGGGUCAGAGGCAGUAAUACUUCUGAUUAUCAGUUGCUUGAAACCUCAGGAGGGGAGAGUUCUCUUGUGCUGGGGUCCUGCUUGCAGGUUUCCCAUAAGCACCUGGCUGGGCACUGUGAGAACAGGAUGCUGGACUAGAUGGGGCAUUGGCCUGAUCCAGCAGGUGGUUCUGAUGUUCAUAUGCCAACUAGACAUCUGAAGUAUUUUUCUUGACCUCUCAAAAAGCGCAAUAGUGUUCUAGCUCUGGGCCCUUGAGACAGAGCAGGGUAGUCACCAAAUAAAUAGCAAAACCCUUUGGAAAUUGUCCUUUUGGUGAAUUGAUGAAAUUUAAAUGGAGGGUAAUUCCAACGUCUUGUUCUCAUUAACUCUGUGAAAAAAUACAUUUCUCUCUCUCAAGCAAAGUCAACAUCAUUAUUCUUUUGACUCUGGUUCAUUACAAGUAGUCUUUGCUUUUAUGCAGUGAAACUGUGUUUAUCCCCUAUAAUUUAGCUAAUCCUUUCCUCUCCCUGCAGUAACAGGAUAGACAUGCAAAUCAGCUCCUAUCAAUUUCAUGUGUGAAGUGGAAAGUCAG